This 1391-nucleotide ribosomal RNA is filed under the name Salegentibacter salarius. RNAcentral describes it as "partial 16S ribosomal RNA". It matches the Rfam family "Bacterial small subunit ribosomal RNA", at positions 57 to 1416 of the family's 1533-position model. Lineage: Bacteria; Pseudomonadati; Bacteroidota; Flavobacteriia; Flavobacteriales; Flavobacteriaceae. The record is from RNAcentral.
GCAGUCGUACAGGUACCGAAAGCUUGCUUUUCUGAUGACGACCGGCGCACGGGUGCGUAACGCGUAUACAACCUACCUUUUAGCGGGGAAUAGCCCAGGGAAACUUGGAUUAAUGCCCCAUAGUAUGGAGGUCUCUCCUGAGAUUUUCAUUAAACAUUUAUGGCUAUUAGAUGGGUAUGCGUCCUAUUAGUUAGUUGGUAAGGUAACGGCUUACCAAGGCAGCGAUAGGUAGGGGUCCUGAGAGGGAGAUCCCCCACACUGGUACUGAGACACGGACCAGACUCCUACGGGAGGCAGCAGUGAGGAAUAUUGGACAAUGGGCGAGAGCCUGAUCCAGCCAUGCCGCGUGCAGGAAGACUGCCCUAUGGGUUGUAAACUGCUUUUACAGAGGAAGAACCNACCCCCNACGUGUGGGGGUUUGACGGUACUCUGCGAAUAAGGAUCGGCUAACUCCGUGCCAGCAGCCGCGGUAAUACGGAGGAUCCAAGCGUUAUCCGGAAUCAUUGGGUUUAAAGGGUCCGUAGGCGGGCAGUUAAGUCAGUGGUGAAAGUCUUCCGCUCAACGGGAGAACUGCCAUUGAUACUGAUUGUCUUGAGUUAUUAUGAAGUGGUUAGAAUGAGUAGUGUAGCGGUGAAAUGCAUAGAUAUUACUCAGAAUACCGAUUGCGAAGGCAGAUCACUAAUAAUAUACUGACGCUGAUGGACGAAAGCGUAGGUAGCGAACAGGAUUAGAUACCCUGGUAGUCUACGCCGUAAACGAUGGUUACUAGCUGUUCGGAUCGAUUGAGAUCUGAGUGGUUAAGCGAAAGUGAUAAGUAACCCACCUGNGGGAGUACGUUCGCAAGAAUGAAACUCAAAGGAAUUGACNGGGGGCCCGCACAAGCGGNUGGAGCAUGUGGNUUUAAUUCGAUGAUACGCNGAGGAACCUUACCAGGGCUUAAAUGUAGUCUGANCAGGAGUGGNAAACACUUNUUUUCUUCGGACAGANUUACAAGGUGCNUGCAUGGNUUGNUCGUCAGCNUCGUGCCSUGANGGUGUCNAGGUUAAGUCCUANUAACGAGCGCAANCCCCKGUGGUUANKUUGCCARNCRAKUCAAGNUCNGGGAACUCNUAGCCMGANCUGCNCGGUGCNAAACCGCNNGAGRAAGGUGGGGAUGACGUCAAAUCAUCACGGCCCUUACGUCCUGGGCCACACACGUGCUACAAUGGUAGGGACAGAGAGCAGCCACUUCGCGAGAAGGAGCGAAUCUACAAACCCUAUCACAGUUCGGAUCGCAGUCUGCAACUCGACUGCGUGAAGCUGGAAUCGCUAGUAAUCGCAUAUCAGCCAUGAUGCGGUGAAUACGUUCCCGGGCCUUGUACACACCGCCCGUCAAGCCAUGAAGCCGGGGG